RNAcentral lists this long non-coding RNA (221 nucleotides) under Lathyrus oleraceus (garden pea). Its description in RNAcentral is "Pisum sativum (pea) long non-coding RNA (PSAT_LNC035511)". Lineage: Eukaryota; Viridiplantae; Streptophyta; Magnoliopsida; Fabales; Fabaceae. The record is from RNAcentral.
UUAGAUGCGGAUAAAUGGAAAAUGGGAAUGAUGCGGAUGCAUGUAUGCAAUUCAUGGUGCCAUCCUCCCAAUCAUCUGAACAUCAACUAUACUGGAUUCCGGUCUCUGAACUGAUCACAACCACCCAAGGGACUAAGUAACCACAAAUCCAACUCGGGGUUCCGAAAUAAACGGAACCGGAGGAUAUAUCACCAUCAUCACGGGAAAGCCACAGAACGGAU